CAGCAGCAGCCGCGGUAAUACGUAGGUGGCAAGCGUUGUCCGGAAUUAUUGGGCGUAAAGGGCUCGCAGGCGGUUUCUUAAGUCUGAUGUGAAAGCCCCCGGCUCAACCGGGGAGGGUCAUUGGAAGCUGGGAAACUUGAGUGCAGAAGAGGAGAGUGGAAUUCCACGUGUAGCGGUGAAAUGCGUAGAGAUGUGGAGGAACACCAGUGGCGAAGGCGACUCUCUGGUCUGUAACUGACGCUGAGGAGCGAAAGCGUGGGGAGCGAACAGGAUUAGAUACCCCUGUAGUCCCUGUCUCUUAUAC
Molecule: ribosomal RNA, 304 nt
Filed under: uncultured bacterium
Lineage: Bacteria
Description: partial 16S ribosomal RNA
Rfam family: Bacterial small subunit ribosomal RNA
Source: RNAcentral